RNAcentral lists this long non-coding RNA (2513 nucleotides) under Gallus gallus (chicken). Its description in RNAcentral is "lncRNA (ENSGALG00010019326.1)". Lineage: Eukaryota; Metazoa; Chordata; Aves; Galliformes; Phasianidae. The record is from RNAcentral.
UACUAAAAAACUAACCAACAGAAGUUCUCACAAAUAUGCAGUGACACCUGGUAGGCAGUAAGACUUCCAGGGCAACAUCUUCAUGAGAACCAUUAACCAAGGGCAAGUUCUAUGAAAAGUGUAUCACAGCUCUUCCUCAAAACAGGAGAGUAAAGUUGUAACCAGGAAGUAGAUGAUAGGAUGACAAACAAGGACUGGCAGGUUUAUGAGCUUCCACAAUGAAGCAAGUACAGGACUUCAGCGCUUGUUCCAACACUUGUUAUAACCACACUGAGUUUAGCUGCAGCAGUAUAUGGUAUAGAAACUGGGAAAGCUGAUCACCUCCUGUCAGCCAGCCUGAUUUGACUGACAGUCAUUGCUUUAAAGCCAGGUGCUGGUAGUAUAUGACACACAAAACCAGCUCUUUUGAACACAUGGUUUCUUCUGUAGACAGGCCUCCAGCAUAAGUACAUACUAAAUGUGUUGGUGGUUUUUUGUUUUUUUUUUUAAUAAUACCUCUCCAUGUAGGGGGAGAGGCUAUUCUGGGACUGUUCAGCCUGGGAAAGAGAUGGCUUGGGGAGAGCUUAUCAGUGGGUAUAAAUGACUGCUGGAAGGCAGUAGCAAACAGAGCCAGACUCUGCUCAGGACAAGACAGGGCAAAAAUACAUUUGUUUUUACCAGUGAGGAUGGUCAAAUAUGAGAACAGGUUGUACAGAGGUAGUGGAGCCUCCAUCAGCGGAAACGCUCAGUUUAAGAAAAGUUUGCUGUAAUGGAUGGAUUCAUCUUCUGAGAGGUGGCUUUACUGGGAUGCUCUCAAUGACUAAACUGCUUUUACUGCUCAUAUUAAAUGCAAUUUGAACAGAACUUUUUGUCUUAAUAAUUUGUAAUAAUUCAUUUAAGUCAUUUAUUUCAGCAUGCCUUGCAGUUGGCCAUGUUAAAGUUUACUUCAUUCUUGAAGCAUGAUUUGUGCUUCCGUAAACAGUUGGUGUGUUUAAAUUUCACAUAGUGAAAAGGGUAACUGAGUAAGCAAAACAAGCCUAUUAAUGAGUGAAAGCACCCUGGCUUAAAGGACAAAACUUCAGAUUGAAACCUUUUAUGCUUUUGAGGGUAAAUGAAUGGGCAGUGCUUGUGAAACCUUGCUACCAAGGUAAUGUGCAGUUAAGCUAUGCUUGGGGGCAAAAGGUAAUUCCUUUGAUUAACUUGGUCUCCAACCUCCAGCCUAAAGGUUAGCAUGAUUUUGGAUGUCUAAUUUGUACAAGAUGCACAGUAAUGUAGAACAGAAGGGUGGAACAAGCCUACCGAGGCACAGGGAUUAACAAGUUCUGAUACACAGAAUCCUUGUGACUGAGCAACAGUAGUAUGGUCAGGUAUACCUUAAGGAAGUAGCUUCUAUGCAAGACUGAAAAGCAGCUAUCUAAUGGCUUAUGAAUGAGCUGGAGCUAGAGUAGUUCCACUUAGUCUAGUGUAGUUCUUGAAGUGCCCCAUGCAGGUUUGUGUGUGUUGGAGAACACACCAUGACUGCCAUGUUUCAUUUCAUUCAUUCACAGUUGCAGAAAGCAACAGUGUCCCAGAUACAAGAAAGUAGAAGCACUGUCUGUAGGUAAUUCCCUCUAAGAUUCCCUUAAAGACAUUAAAAUGUGAACUCUAGAAAUCAACUUUCAGAUGGGUUAGUGCUGUGUCUGGCAGCUGUCAUUCUUCUCAGACCGCAAAGGUUCAGUUAGCAGAGCCUGUUUCUUGCUUCAUUGUCCAGGGGUGGUGCGGUAUCUGCAGGGGCUCUGUCCUGCUCCACAAGUGUUCCCUUCCUUCUUCUGUUCUGUGUCCCACCCUAAAAAUUCACAGAAGCACUUAGUGGCUAAAAGGGUAUCGUUCCUUCUGUACGCACAUGUCAAGGAUGAGGAGGCCCUUCCCCUCACCUCCUUUAAAAAAAUGAUACGCCCACCAGUAGCUUUAUACUGGGUCAGGCUAGUAAGUGCUGAAUCAGUAUUCUAGCAGAUGACUCUUUCUAUGGAGUCCUCUUUUUGUGUUGGGGGAAUUACUUAUACAUACACCCAACAGCUGUGACAUCAAUAAAGGGAAGCUGGUGAUGCAAGGCUAUUUUUCACCUUUAUCACACUUGUUUCUUGUCCACAAUAUUGAGGCUUAUGGAAGAAACAAUGCAUGCGAUAGUGUUUACCAACAUAAGGAUCAUUAUCUGUUGCCAGAGCCACAGGGGAGUCUUCAAUUCACUAGAAAAGGACAAAAACAUCGAAGGUGACUAAUUGUUCUGUCUUAAGGCAUGUCUAUAGUUCCAUGCAGGUUGAGAAGACACUCAUUUCUCUUUACAAUAUUCCACUAAUGUGCUGCUGAUAUGCAUUCCCACCUGGACUUCGUUCUGAGACUGUGCCCAACAAGAAGAUUUGAAAGGCCAACUCCAAUCAUCUGAACAGAAGUUGCAAGCAUUAUAGCUGUUCCUUAAGUUGCUUGGGGGACCACAGGAUGUACAGAUGGCCUGGCAGGAGUAAUGAAAAGAAGAAUUAAAGAGUUAUUAUUUCCAU